AACGAAAACUUCGUCGGAACACGCGGCUCACACCGUUCCUACGAAUCGAGCUCCCGAGUCCCCCAACAGUGUCGUCUCCUCGAGCGAGGGAGCGCGCGCGAAUGGCGUCGGCGCUCCGCGCGGCUCCGGUCACCGCCCUCGGCUCCGGCGGGGGCCCGCGGCGGCGCUCUCCUCCGGAGCCCCGCGGCGUCCGGCGCUGCGCGGCGAAGCNNNN
This 214-nucleotide long non-coding RNA is filed under the name Ananas comosus (pineapple). RNAcentral describes it as "long non-coding RNA (ACOM_LNC006186)". The record is from RNAcentral. Lineage: Eukaryota; Viridiplantae; Streptophyta; Magnoliopsida; Poales; Bromeliaceae.